AGAAUCGACGCUGGCGGCGUGCCUAACACAUGCAAGUCGAACGCGAAAGUCCCGCAAGGGAUGAGUAGAGUGGCAAACGGGUGAGUGACACGUGGGUGACCUGCCUUCGAGCGGGGGAUAACGGUCCCGAAAGGGACGCUAAUACCGCAUGACAUCCUGCCUUUGAAGAGGUGGAGAUCAAAAGCUGGGGAUCGCAAGACCUAGCACUUGAAGAGGGGCCCGCGUCUGAUUAGCUAGUUGGUGGGGUAAACGCUCACCAAGGCAAACGAUCAGUA
Molecule: ribosomal RNA, 275 nt
Filed under: uncultured soil bacterium
Lineage: Bacteria
Description: partial 16S ribosomal RNA
Rfam family: Bacterial small subunit ribosomal RNA
Source: RNAcentral